Molecule: ribosomal RNA, 510 nt
Filed under: uncultured bacterium
Lineage: Bacteria
Description: partial 16S ribosomal RNA
Rfam family: Bacterial small subunit ribosomal RNA
Source: RNAcentral
GACGAACGCUGGCGGCGUGCUUAACACAUGCAAGUCGAACGAAGAGCGAUGGAAGCUUGCUUCUAUCAAUCUUAGUGGCGAACGGGUGAGUAACGCGUAAUCAACCUGCCCUUCAGAGGGGGACAACAGUUGGAAACGACUGCUAAUACCGCAUACGAUCUAAUCUCGGCAUCGAGGAUAGAUGAAAGGAGGCCUCUACAUGUAAGCUAUCACUGAAGGAGGGGAUUGCGUCUGAUUAGCUAGUUGGAGGGGUAACGGCCCACCAAGGCGAUGAUCAGUAGCCGGUCUGAGAGGAUGAACGGCCACAUUGGGACUGAGACACGGCCCAGACUCCUACGGGAGGCAGCAGUGGGGAAUCUUCCGCAAUGGACGAAAGUCUGACGGAGCAACGCCGCGUGAGUGAUGACGGCCUUCGGGUUGUAAAGCUCUGUUAAUCGGGACGAAAGGCCUUCUUGCGAAUAGUGAGAAGGAUUGACGGUACCGGAAUAGAAAGCCACGGCUAACUACGUG